CUCACUAGAUGCCAUUUAUCAAUGUUUAUGUUACACAUUCAAUCGGUAGCUAAAAUAACUAUACAUUUGCAAAAAAAUGGGGUUGGAUAUAGUAUUUACCAAUAUUGACAGUAAGUAACAAAAACAUCAUGUCUUACAUCAUUGCCAUCUUUUUGGAAAUAUAAUCAAAUCGCCCCUUUAAAAGGUGUAAAGGUUCGCCUCACCCAUGAAGAGUACACUUGCAUACUCUUACUCUCAGCCAAAUCGUUGGAUAUAAGUGCAAAUCUACAACGAUACACCUAUGUAUACAUUAAAAUUACAAACAUACAAAACUCCAAGUAAAAUAGAAAUUUGAGAGACCCGUAUCAAAGCUCACACACAUCAAACGAAUAAAAAAAACAGCUGUCCGUUGCCUUGCUUGGCUCAGGCAUUUCUUGAUGAGAAAAUUGAGUUUAGAGUUAUGUUAACCGCUCACUUGUUUCAUAAACGAAAUAACAAGACCAGAAAUAAAAAAAUGACAACAGCAUAACAACAUACAUUUUGUAUUCGCGAGAUGCAUUAGUCUCCAGUUAAGUGGAAAAAAAUUGGCAAGGAAAGGAAAACUUAUCAUGUAAUGGCUAAUCAUUUACAAAGACAAAUACAACUACCCGUUCAACACGGUAUACAGAUGAUAAACAACGGCAAUGACUUGAAACUAUACUUAAAGACUCAAAGUAAAGUUGGUACGGAAGAUUUAUCAACACGGUCUUGGUAUAUUCGAAUGAACUUUUUAUUAAAGAAAAGACGAAACGUUAUUUGACAUAGCGCUGUCAUCAACUUUCUGCUCAGACAUUUGUGACAUUUUAUAAAGUAGGAGUACCACUGGCACAGAACAGAAGUUCCUAAUAUGUAUUCCAAAGAUAAUGUAUUAUGUAACAAAAAUUCCAAUUGGAAUUAAUAUUAUGUGAUAUAUAUUCCAUAAGCAUAAUAAAAGGAUUAAACUUUUAGAAUAGAGUGUAAAGAGG
This 983-nucleotide long non-coding RNA is filed under the name Mytilus galloprovincialis (Mediterranean mussel). Lineage: Eukaryota; Metazoa; Mollusca; Bivalvia; Mytilida; Mytilidae. The record is from RNAcentral.